GUGAAGAUUACAGUGUUUUGCAUAAUAUAGGGUUGCCAUUAUCAUUGUCACCAGUUUCUUAAUGAGAAGGAAUUAGAGAGAUAGCAUCAUGUCCCUCCAUAGUGUUUCUAAUUCUUUGCCCUUAUAGUUAAUGCAAAAUCAAGUGUAAUUUUUAAUACAGUGUUUCCUGAAAAUACCAAGCUAAGAGGCAACCCUAAAAGACAAUUAUAUGGGAAUUGCAUAUGAAAGCAUUCCUCCACAUGAGAGCUCAGGUCUGUCUUGCAGAGUUUGAGUAUACAGUUAAGUCACCCAAAUCUUUCCGGUUAGACUUUUUGCCAGACAGUGUACAAUGCUCAUUCAACCCAUAAGGUUUUGGACAAUGAUUUAUCAUCUGGUUAAACUCUUUAAUGGUAAAGCAUUCAGAAGGGCAUUCUUUAGAGUUAACAUUCAACCAAGGCAUUGAAUUAAUGUUGUUUCCAGUUUUCCUGGCAAGCAGUAAAGUAAGUAAGCCUCCUUGGCCUUUGCAGAAUUGUUUUCGUAACAGAGAAAGAUCUCUUGGCCUAACUUCCCCAAUGCCCUGCCCUGCUUCUUGCUAGGUUUCCUGCUCCGGAGGGGCCGAGAAAGUGUACCAUCUGGGCAGAAAACAUUAGCAAGAAAGAGUCAGUGCUGCAAGGUCCUGCAGACAACCGAAUUGCAGCUUCCACUGCACUGCCCAGCCAGGCGAAGCAUGGAGAUGGGAGGGACUCGCUGAAAGCUGGCCCCAGUCAAGGACAGACCCAGGGCGGGGAAGUCUGCUCGAGUUUGAGACUAUGUCCUCUGGGCAGCAGUCCCAAAGCGAGGCUGCUGCAGCUCUGCAAGCUGUUCCCAAGCACUGGGCCCAGCAAACCACGCGCUGAUCUCAGGGCUCCGGGUCGCGCAAGUGCCACCCACCGUGUGACGGAAGCCCUGCGGCAAGGCACAAGUGGCCUUCUCCUGUGCCAGGGUGAAGGUAAGUACCACCGCCCCGGGGCCUAAGCAGCCAGGGUGGGGGCGGCCACUCUCUCACUUCCCCAAGCCUGCAAGCCAGCGCCUCGGCCACGCCACUCAUCGAACCCACCCAGAACACCCCUUCCCCGCUCCAUGGGGCGGGACCCACCUGUGCCAGAGGUCGCGACUCCCGAUUCAGCCAAGUGGACGAAUCGCAAGCGAGGAGAGCCUCGGAAGGCAGCCCUGCGCCCGCCCUUUUGCUUUCGGUCGCGAAACCGCCAGCCCCUCGCUCCCCCCUCCCCCGGCGCGAGGCCCCAUCCCCCGCCCGGAGGCCCCGCCCCGCUCCUUCCGGCCGGGGGGCGGGGCCUCGCGCCGAGCACGCAACGGGUGCCCGCGCGCGCUGGAUUCUUGGAAUCAUCAGGAUGGAGACGGGUCGCUGAGGUCGACUCCUAGCAGGUUGGGAACCAUCAGUCGCAGACAGCAAAAUAGAUGGACCCAUAAAACGAUGCGUGUAAGACCCAGGUCGCCUUGCUUGCCUUUUCAGGACUCCGCCUCGGAUGCUCCUAUUUUCGGUUCAAUCACUGAUUGGAUCAUCAGGGUGAUGGUAGCCUCGUAGAAUGAGCUUGGGAGUGUUCCUCCCUCUACAAAUGUUUGGAAGAGUUUCAGAAGCCCUCUAUAAAUGUCUGAUAGAAUUCACCUGUGAAGCCAUGUGGUCCUGAACUUUUGUUUGUUGGAAGAUUUUUAUUCACUGUUUUUCAAUUUCAUUACUUGUGGUUGGUCUUUUCAUACUUUAUAUUUCUUCCUGGUUCAGUCUUGGGAGAUUGUACCUUUCUAAGAAUUUUUCCAUUUCUUCCCUGUUGUCCAUUUCACUGGCAUAUAGUUGCUUGAAAUAGUCUCUUGUAAUCUUUUGUAUUUCUGCUGUAUCACUUGUAACUUCUCCUUUUUAAUUUCUAAUUAGAUUGAUUUGAACCAUCUCCCUUUUUUUCUGGAUGAGUCUGACAAUUUGUUGUAAAUCCUACAAAGUUUGCCUAGGUACUCAACUAGCACAAUUGGCUAUAUAGUACUGUACUAUAAUAGGCUUAUAAUACUUUUC
This 2038-nucleotide long non-coding RNA is filed under the name Cervus hanglu yarkandensis (Yarkand deer). RNAcentral describes it as "lncRNA (ENSCHYG00000018119.1)". The record is from RNAcentral. Lineage: Eukaryota; Metazoa; Chordata; Mammalia; Artiodactyla; Cervidae.